RNAcentral lists this ribosomal RNA (460 nucleotides) under uncultured bacterium. RNAcentral's name for it is "partial 16S ribosomal RNA". It matches the Rfam family "Bacterial small subunit ribosomal RNA", at positions 338 to 795 of the family's 1533-position model. The record is from RNAcentral.
CCUACGUGAGUCAGCAGUGAGGAAUAUUGGUCAAUGGACGAGAGUCUGAACCAGCCAAGUCGCGUGAAGGAUGAAUGCCCUAUGGAUUGUAAACUUCUUUUGUAUGGGAAUAAAAUGUUCCACGUGUGGGAUUUUGUAUGUACCAUAUGAAUAAGGAUCGGCUAACUCCGUGCCAGCAGCCGCGGUAAUACGGAGGAUCCGAGCGUUAUCCGGAUUUAUUGGGUUUAAAGGGAGCGUAGGUGGAUUGUUAAGUCAGUGGUGAAAGUUUGCGGCUCAACCGUAAAAUUGCAGUUGAAACUGGCAGGCUGGAGUACAGGAGAGGUGGGCGGAAUUCGCGGUGUAGCGGUGAAAUGCUUAGAUAUCACGAAGAACCCCGAUUGCGAAGGCAGUUCACUGGACUGCAACUGACACUGAGGCUCGAAAGUGUGGGUAUCAAACAGGAUUAGAUACCCGGGUAGUC